UGCCCCAUGGCUGAGCUGGUUACAGCGUCCGACUGUUAAGCCGUCUGUGGCUAAGCUAAAAUCGGAAGGUCGUGAGUUCAAUCCUCACUGGGGCAG
This is a non-coding RNA of Flammula alnicola, 96 nucleotides long. Lineage: Eukaryota; Fungi; Basidiomycota; Agaricomycetes; Agaricales; Strophariaceae. The record is from the annotation of a GenBank genome assembly.